AGUGCAGGUGGUUGUAUAAGUCUGAAGUAAAAGGCAGUGGCUCAACCAUUGUGUGCUUUGGAAACUGUACAACUUGAGUGCAGAAGGGGAGAGUGGAAUUCCAUGUGUAGCGGUGAAAUGCGUAGAUAUAUGGAGGAACACCGGUGGCGAAAGCGGCUCUCUGGUCUGUAACUGACACUGAGGCUGAAAGCGUGGGGAGCAAACA
This 205-nucleotide ribosomal RNA is filed under the name uncultured bacterium. Its description in RNAcentral is "partial 16S ribosomal RNA". It matches the Rfam family "Bacterial small subunit ribosomal RNA", at positions 568 to 774 of the family's 1533-position model. The record is from RNAcentral.